Molecule: ribosomal RNA, 479 nt
Filed under: uncultured bacterium
Lineage: Bacteria
Description: partial 16S ribosomal RNA
Rfam family: Bacterial small subunit ribosomal RNA
Source: RNAcentral
GAUGAACGCUAGCGGGAGGCCUAACACAUGCAAGCCGAGCGGUAUUGUUUCUUCGGCAAUGAGAGAGCGGCGUACGGGUGCGUAACACGUGUGCAACCUGCCUUUAUCUGGGGGAUAGCCUUUCGAAAGGAAGAUUAAUACUCCAUAAUAUAUUGAACGGCAUCGUUUAAUAUUGAAAGCUCCGGCGGAUAGAGAUGGGCACGCGCAAGAUUAGCUAGUUGGUGAGGUAACGGCUCACCAAGGCGAUGAUCUUUAGGGGGCCUGAGAGGGUGAUCCCCCACACUGGUACUGAGACACGGACCAGACUCCUACGGGAGGCAGCAGUGAGGAAUAUUGAUCAAUGGGUGCAAGCCUGAACCAGCCAUCCCGCGUGAAGGACGACUGCCCUAUGGGUUGUAAACUUCUUUUGUAUAGGGAUAAACCUACCCUCGAGAGGGUAGCUGAAGGUACUAUACGAAUAAGCACCGGCUAACUCCGUG